GUGCCAGCCGCCGCGGUAAUACGUAGGGUGCAAGCGUUAUCCGGAAUUAUUGGGCGUAAAGAGCUCGUAGGCGGUUUGUCACGUCUGCUGUGAAAACUGGAGGCUCAACCUCCAGCCUGCAGUGGGUACGGGCAGACUAGAGUGCGGUAGGGGAGAUUGGAAUUCCUGGUGUAGCGGUGGAAUGCGCAGAUAUCAGGAGGAACACCGAUGGCGAAGGCAGAUCUCUGGGCCGUAACUGACGCUGAGGAGCGAAAGCAUGGGGAGCGAACAGGAUUAGAAACCCGAGUAGUCC
Molecule: ribosomal RNA, 292 nt
Filed under: uncultured bacterium
Lineage: Bacteria
Description: partial 16S ribosomal RNA
Rfam family: Bacterial small subunit ribosomal RNA
Source: RNAcentral